UACGGAGGGUGCGAGCGUUAUUCGGAAUCACUGGGCGUAAAGCGCGCGUAGGCGGGUUGACAAGUCAGGUGUGAAAUCCCACGGCUCAACCGUGGAAUUGCACUUGUGACUGGCGGGCUCGAGUACGGUAGAGGGGGGUGGAAUUCCUGGUGUAGCAGUGAAAUGCGUAGAGAUCUGGAGGAAUACCGGUGGCGAAGGCGGCCCCCUGGACAAAGACUGACGCUCAGGCACGAAAGCGUGGGGAGCAAACAGG
This 253-nucleotide ribosomal RNA is filed under the name uncultured microorganism. Its description in RNAcentral is "partial 16S ribosomal RNA". It matches the Rfam family "Bacterial small subunit ribosomal RNA", at positions 524 to 776 of the family's 1533-position model. The record is from RNAcentral.